Long non-coding RNA from Anguilla rostrata (American eel), 207 nucleotides. RefSeq lists it as uncharacterized. The transcript is spliced from 4 exons. The record is from RefSeq and is a predicted model, not a curated record. Lineage: Eukaryota; Metazoa; Chordata; Actinopteri; Anguilliformes; Anguillidae.
UGUCUGUUCACAGAAGGCAUGAAGGUAACAGCGCUAGUUGGAAUGUGGAAAACACUGGCCACAGGGAACUUCCCAGGGACUGUCCACGUAGACCACCUCGUCCAGAGGAAAGGGCAUCAUUCUGGAGACGGUUUUCCAGAAGAAAUCCCAAAGACUUCCUGGACAGACCUCCUCGCCCAGAAAAAAGGUAAUCACAUGGGCAAUACU